Molecule: non-coding RNA, 99 nt
Organism: Ceratobasidium sp. AG-I
Lineage: Eukaryota; Fungi; Basidiomycota; Agaricomycetes; Cantharellales; Ceratobasidiaceae
Source: the annotation of a GenBank genome assembly
GCCCUUAUAGCUCAGUGGUAGAGCGUUGCACUUGUAAGCCACACCUCUCGUAACGCAAUCGACAUGCAAAGGUCCGUUGUUCAAUCCAGCGUGGGGGCA